GACGAACGCUGGCGGCGUGCUUAACACAUGCAAGUCGAACGGAAAGGCCCUGCUUUUGUGGGGUGCUCGAGUGGCGAACGGGUGAGUAACACGUGAGUAACCUGCCCUUGACUUUGGGAUAACUUCAGGAAACUGGGGCUAAUACCGGAUAGGAGCUCCUGCUGCUUGGUGGGGGUUGGAAAGUUUCGGCGGUUGGGGUUGGACUCGCGGCUUAUCAGCUUGUUGGUGGGGUAGUGGCUUACCAAGGCUUUGACGGGUAGCCGGCCUGAGAGGGUGACCGGCCACAUUGGGACUGAGAUACGGCCCAGACGCCUACGGGAGGCAGCAGUGGGGAAUAUUGCACAAUGGGCGGAAGCCUGAUGCAGCAACGCCGCGUGCGGGAUGACGGCCUUCGGGUUGUAAACCGCUUUCGCCUGUGACGAAGCGUGAGUGACGGUAAUGGGUAAAGAAGCACCGGCUAACUACGUG
RNAcentral lists this ribosomal RNA (468 nucleotides) under uncultured bacterium. RNAcentral describes it as "partial 16S ribosomal RNA". It matches the Rfam family "Bacterial small subunit ribosomal RNA", at positions 28 to 507 of the family's 1533-position model. The record is from RNAcentral.